This 1017-nucleotide ribosomal RNA is filed under the name uncultured fungus. RNAcentral describes it as "eukaryotic LSU rRNA". The stretch from base 334 to 1017 matches the Rfam family "Eukaryotic large subunit ribosomal RNA", at positions 1 to 664 of the family's 3401-position model. Lineage: Eukaryota; Fungi. The record is from RNAcentral.
AUCGAUGAAGAACGCAGCGAAAUGCGAUAAGUAAUGUGAAUUGCAGAAUUCAGUGAAUCAUCGAAUCUUUGAACGCACCUUGCGCUCCUUGGUAUUCCGAGGAGCAUGCCUGUUUGAGUGUCAUUAAAUUCUCAACCCUUUCAGCUUUUGCGAGUUGAUUUGGCUUGGAUGUGGGGGUUGCGGGCUUCUCAGAAGUCGGCUCCUCUUAAAUGCAUUAGCGGAACCUUUGUGGACCAGCUUUGGUGUGAUAAUUAUCUACGCCAUGGCCGUGAAGCAGCUUUACAUGGGGUUCAGCUUCUAACCGUCCAUUGACUUGGACAAUUUCUGACAUUUUGACCUCAAAUCAGGUAGGACUACCCGCUGAACUUAAGCAUAUCAAUAAGCGGAGGAAAAGAAACUAACAAGGAUUCCCCUAGUAACUGCGAGUGAAGCGGGAAAAGCUCAAAUUUAAAAUCUGGCGGUCCUUGUGGCCGUCCGAGUUGUAAUCUAGAGAAGUGCUAUCCGCGCUGGACCGUGUACAAGUCUCCUGGAACGGAGCGUCAUAGAGGGUGAGAAUCCCGUCUUUGACACGGACUACCAGGGCUUUGUGAUGUGCUCUCAAAGAGUCGAGUUGUUUGGGAAUGCAGCUCUAAAUGGGUGGUAAAUUCCAUCUAAAGCUAAAUAUUGGCGAGAGACCGAUAGCGAACAAGUACCGUGAGGGAAAGAUGAAAAGAACUUUGGAAAGAGAGUUAAACAGUACGUGAAAUUGUUGAAAGGGAAACGCUUGAAGUCAGUCGCGUUGGCCGGGGAUCAACCUUGCUCUUUUGCUUGGCGUACUUUCCGGUUGACGGGUCAGCAUCAAUUUUGACCGAUGGAUAAAGGUCAGGGGAAUGUGGCAUCUUCGGAUGUGUUAUAGCCCUUGGUCGCAUACAUCGGUUGGGAUUGAGGAACUCAGCACGCCGCAAGGCCGGGUCUUUGACCACGUACGUGCUUAGGAUGCUGGCAUAAUGGCUUUAAUCGACCCGUCUUGAAACACGG